Molecule: ribosomal RNA, 503 nt
Filed under: uncultured bacterium
Lineage: Bacteria
Description: partial 16S ribosomal RNA
Rfam family: Bacterial small subunit ribosomal RNA
Source: RNAcentral
GAUGAACGCUAGCGACAGGCUUAACACAUGCAAGUCGAGGGGCAGCAUAGAAGUAGCAAUACUUUGGUGGCGACCGGCGCACGGGUGAGUAACGCGUAUGCAACCUACCUAUCAGAGGGGAAUAACCAGGCGAAAGUCGGACUAAUACCGCACAAAACAGGGGCACCGCUUGGGGAUAUUUGUUAAAGAAAUUCGCUGAUAGAUGGGCAUGCGUUCCAAUAGGUAGUUGGUGAGGUAACGGUAUCCCAAGCCGACGAUGGAUAGGGGAACUGAGAGGUUGGUCCCCCACACUGGUACUGAGACACGGACCAGACUCCUACGGGAGGCAGCAGUGAGGAAUAUUGGUCAAUGGGCGAGAGCCUGAACCAGCCAAGUCGCGUGAAGGAAGAAGGAUCUAUGGUUCGUAAACUUCUUUUGCAGGGGAAUAAAGUGCAGGACGUGUCCUGUUUUGUAUGUACCCUGAGAAUAAGGAUCGGCUAACUCCGUGCCAGCAGCCGCCGUAA